Molecule: long non-coding RNA, 2959 nt
Organism: Xyrauchen texanus (razorback sucker)
Lineage: Eukaryota; Metazoa; Chordata; Actinopteri; Cypriniformes; Catostomidae
Exons: 4
Source: RefSeq, a predicted model, not a curated record
AGAUUCUGGUUCAGUUGAUGAAAUCUACAAACAUCAAAGUAUGGACAAUAUAACAAAUUUUCAUGAGACUCAAAGCCUUUAUGACAUCAGACUGAAUCCAGCAGAAGAUCUCACAGCAGCGAGAGGUAUUAUGGGUUCAAAUAACUCUCUUCCGAACUUUGCCAUGAAGAAAGACUCCAGUGACCCCCAUCAGAACACCGUUACCCAGAAGUAAGGUGUAACUGAGGUGGAGGACUCGAGUUACAUGCCUUGACUUGCAAAUUUAAGGACAUGAUCGACUAAAUGAAGAAAAUGACUUGACUUGAGAACCAGCAACUCCAGACUUGACUUGAACUGAAUGACUCUUGAAUGUUUUUUUAUUAUUAUUAUUUUCAUUAACUUAUUAUAAACAGUAAUGAAAUGUGUUUUAAAAACAUAUGCAAAAUAUGUAAUCCCGCCUGCAUCACUGAUCUGCAUCUGCGCGGUUAACGCUGCGCUCACAAUGCGCCAAAAUGACAGAUGAUUGUCCUUUUCCCAAAAUAAUCUCCUUUGGAUAUAAAGAUUUCGAAUUGGAUUGUGUGAAUAAAAAAAGGAUGAAAAUAUGCAACGCAAAAUGAUCCGAUACAACCACCACAACCUCCAAUUUCAUCAGACAUUUCAAAAACCACAAGGAAAGGAAAGUGAAUAAUUUCAUUAUUAUUUCAUUAUCCAGAAAGAUUCAUAUGUAAAAUUACUGUUCAAAUGUUUGAGGGUUGUCAGUAAUUAAAAUUAUUCAGGAUUAAUCUCGUGUUUUGUAGCGCGACAAGUUUGAAAUGAUCCGACAUUGCCUAUAAAUGUGUGUGCGCCUUUUCUAAACCUUCUCAACAAUAUACCAUAAACAUGUGUCGCAAUAUAAAAACAUUUAUUUAAAACGUGACGAGUAUAAAAUAUACAGAAUGACUCGUGAUGAAAUCCAAGUGCUCUCAUAGUGAUUGUGACUGAAGAAUUUAACUAAAGUGCUUGAAUGCAAAACCUUUAUGACUGUUUUAUAUAAAUGAAUCUCUGAAGGGAACUGACUGUCUUCAGAAACAUUUCGAUGACAUUUUCUUUUCAUCUUACCUCCAUAUAAUGUUUAAUAAAGUAUUGUUUAUAAGCGCAGGGCUGCUUUGUGUACAGGCGUUACCAGGGUAACAGCUGUAUUUCUGCUGCAUAAGUGCCCCCUACUGUCAGAGAGCGAAUUUGCAUUUUCAUUCAGCACGUCUACCACAUUGUUACACAGCAUAAACGUAGUGUUAUACAUUUUAACCGGUUAUUUUUCGAAAAAUGUAAACAAUUCGGAUAAUGAAGUAUCUAGAAAUAUUCACAGUAUUUUUAAGUGCCCACGAUGAAAAUAUUGAGCAUGUUCAAUAACGCAAUUUACUAUAUAUAUAUUCGUCAUGCACCGAUCGCCCGGCCAGGGACCGGAAUUUGCCGAUUUUCCGCAUGCUCGGCCCAGACUGGUAACCGUCCGGUCAGCCUCACGUCUUACUAAUUCCAAGCCGGUCCGUUUUGUUGCCAGCGGCGCAGGCAAUAACGUCACAGCCGCAUGUAAACAUGUCAUUGGCGUGGGAGAUCUUCACUAUGUGAGUGAAGAAUACAUAAAGUUCGAAAUGUGUAAUAAUUAAACCGCGGGUGAACCACCACAAUAACUUUCGGAACAACAAACCUAAUUAGACAUUUAUAACACCAUCACCCAGCUGAAAAUGCCCAUUUUAAAAAAGAAGCUAAAAAGGGAAUGCGGCUAAAGCUAUCCAGAGCUCAGAGCCAGUCACAAGUCAGCAGCCUCUCCUAUCAUUCCUUGGUAUGAGCAGUGAAAAGACCAAAGCAAUUACGAGGAAAAUUAUGGAAUUCAUGGCCCUGGAUGACCAGCUGUUCUCCAUAGUUGAGGACAGAGGGAUCAGAAAUCUGAUAAAUUUCCUCGAUACAGAGUAUGAGGUACUUUCCGAUGUCGUGUUGCCCGAGUUGUUUAAUCUCGUGUCACGUCACACACGCAGCCUGUUAUCUGCCAACAUUUGGGUACACAAAUCCGGGAGAGGGGAAGGGGGGUGCUGGAUGGCAGAGGCAGGAUAAAUACAUACAAAUUGUGCCGUUGUGGUUUAACGUAAUUUUUCCCACCGUGUCCGAUAUUAAAAUCAGUGCGACACACAUUGUAAAAGGCGUGGGCAUUGGCGAUAUGGCUUCGGGAUAUGAAAUUAAAUUCUUCCAUCCAGCUGUUGUUAAAUGUACAUGUAUAUUUUGUUUUUUUCGCCGGAGCACCAGCUGAGUCUUCCUCUCCCAUCUACCAGUGAUGCUUGAUUUAACAUCCUGCGUCUACUGCCUGCGCAGAUAUCAACAGCGCAAAUGUGUUGUAGGUUGCCAGAUUGUGGUCAUAAAUUAUUUGUAAUGUGUAUGAUGUGUCGAUUGUGUGAGUAGGAUGCCUUUCAUUCAAGAUCUGGCAACUGGACCACCUUGGAAUAAUAUAUUGAUGUGAUUAUUCAUAUAACGUGGUUUGGGCCGUACAAAAGUUUUUUUUGGGAGAAAAAACAAAACGGGAGACUCCCGGGAAAAACGGGAGUGUUGACAGGUAUGCAAGCCAUUCCCGAAGCAGUGCUCAGUUUUACAACUGAUAUUUGUACAUCUAACGUAAGUGGUAUCGGCAGGUCACACUUGCAAAAAAAUCGGCCAAGAAAAUUGCAAUCGGUGCAUCUCUAAUACAUAUAUAUUAGUAUAACACUUUACUGUUAUACAAUUCAUAUAAAUAAAUAAAAGUUCAUCUUUUCAGAGGAAAAAUAAAUAUUAUUUCAAAAAUGAAUCUUUAUUUUAGUGCUGUUGCUUGACUUGCUUGAUUUGUCUGAACUGCACUCGAGACUUGAACAUUUGCUCCCACUGUUCACACCGAUUUCAUUUUGUCCAAAGUUACUCAAAAAAUUGAUAUUUGCAAUAUUAGUGUUGAUUUGAAACACAUCAAAUAAAUCAAUGCUGU